GACGAACGCUGGCGGCGUGCUUAACACAUGCAAGUCGAACGGAAAGGCCCUGCUUUUGUGGGGUGCUCGAGUGGCGAACGGGUGAGUAACACGUGAGUAACCUGCCCUUGACUUUGGGAUAACUUCAGGAAACUGGGGCUAAUACCGGAUAGGAGCUCCUGCUGCAUGGGGGGGGUUGGAAAGUUUCGGCGGUUGGGGCUGGACUCGCGGCUUAUCAGCUUGUUGGUGGGGUAGUGGCUUACCAAGGCUUUGACGGGUAGCCGGCCUGGGAGGGUGACCGGCCACAUUGGUACUGCGGUACGGCCCAGACUCCUACGGGAGGCAGCAGGGGGGAAUAUUGCACAAUGGGCGGAAGCCUGAUGCAGCAACGCCGCGUGCGGGAUGACGGCCUUCGGGUUGUAAACCGCUUUCGCCUGUGACGAAGCGUGAGUGACGGUAAUGGGUAAAGAAGCACCGGCUAACUACGUG
Molecule: ribosomal RNA, 468 nt
Filed under: uncultured bacterium
Lineage: Bacteria
Description: partial 16S ribosomal RNA
Rfam family: Bacterial small subunit ribosomal RNA
Source: RNAcentral